GGAGAGGUGCCCGAGCGGCUGAAGGGGCUCGCCUGGAAAGCGAGUGUACCGUGUUAAACGGUACCGUGGGUUCGAAUCCCACCCUCUCCG
This 90-nucleotide transfer RNA is filed under the name Bacteroidota bacterium. RNAcentral's name for it is "Bacteroidetes bacterium tRNA-Ser". It matches the Rfam family "tRNA". Rfam says of the family: Transfer RNA (tRNA) molecules are approximately 80 nucleotides in length. Their secondary structure includes four short double-helical elements and three loops (D, anti-codon, and T loops). RNAcentral also lists the same sequence under 1 other name. The record is from RNAcentral. Lineage: Bacteria; Pseudomonadati; Bacteroidota.